This 397-nucleotide ribosomal RNA is filed under the name uncultured bacterium. RNAcentral describes it as "partial 16S ribosomal RNA". It matches the Rfam family "Bacterial small subunit ribosomal RNA", at positions 523 to 918 of the family's 1533-position model. The record is from RNAcentral.
AUACGUAGGUGACAAGCGUUAUCCGGAUUUACUGGGCGUAAAGGGCGUGUAGGCGGUCUUGCAAGUCAGAAGUGAAAUUCCUGAGCUCAACUCGGGCGCUGCUUCUGAAACUGCAGGACUUGAGUGCUGGAGGGGAUAGCGGAAUUCCUAGUGGAGCGGUAAAAUGCGCAGAUAUUAGGAAGAACACCGGUGGCGAAGGCGGCUAUCUGGACAGUAACUGACGCUGAGGCGCGAAAGCGUGGGGAGCAAACAGGAGUAGAUACCCUGGUAGGCCACGCCGUAAACGAUGAAUACUAGGUGUAGGGGGUAUCGACUCCCUCUGUGCCGCAGUUAACACAAUAAGUAUUCCGCCUGGGGAGUACGGCCGCAAGGUUGAAACUCAAAUGAAUUGACGGGU